This 79-nucleotide transfer RNA is filed under the name Amborella trichopoda. RNAcentral describes it as "tRNA AMTR_s00123t00276730". The record is from RNAcentral. Lineage: Eukaryota; Viridiplantae; Streptophyta; Magnoliopsida; Amborellales; Amborellaceae.
ACUACUAGUAGUACGUAUUAAGAGUACUAGUACUACUGCUAGUAGUACAUACUUGUAGUGCUAGUAUGUACUACUAGUA